This 482-nucleotide ribosomal RNA is filed under the name uncultured bacterium. RNAcentral describes it as "partial 16S ribosomal RNA". It matches the Rfam family "Bacterial small subunit ribosomal RNA", at positions 30 to 507 of the family's 1533-position model. The record is from RNAcentral.
AUUGAACGCUGGCGGCAUGCUUUACACAUGCAAGUCGAACGGUAACAGGCCGCAAGGUGCUGACGAGUGGCGCACGGGUGAGUAAUGCAUCGGAACGUGCCCAGUCGUGGGGGAUAACUACUCGAAAGAGUAGCUAAUACCGCAUACGAUCUAUGGAUGAAAGCGGGGGACCGUAAGGCCUCGCGCGAUUGGAGCGGCCGAUGUCAGAUUAGGUAGUUGGUGGGGUAAAGGCUCACCAAGCCAACGAUCUGCAGCUGGUCUGAGAGGACGACCCGCCACACUGGGACUGAGACACGGCCCAGACUCCUACGGGAGGCCGCAGUGGGGAAUUUUGGACAAUGGGCGCAAGCCUGAUCCAGCAAUGCCGCGUGCAGGAAGAAGGCCUUCGGGUUGUAAACUGCUUUUGUACGGAACGAAACGGCUCUGGUUAAUACCCGGGGCUAAUGACGGUACCGUAAGAAUAAGCACCGGCUAACUACGUG